UCUGCUGCGGGAAAACGGACCACGGUUUUGUCGGUGAUGGUAACGAUCGGCGAUACUACCACGCGUGUACUUGCAAACCACUAGGAAAAAUGC
Molecule: long non-coding RNA, 93 nt
Organism: Frieseomelitta varia
Lineage: Eukaryota; Metazoa; Arthropoda; Insecta; Hymenoptera; Apidae
Exons: 3
Source: RefSeq, a predicted model, not a curated record